CCUGAACGCUGGCGGCGUGGCUAAGACAUGCAAGUCGCACGGUGUAGCAAUACACAGUGGCGAACGGGUGAGUAAUGAAUCGCUAAUGUACCCUGGACUCUGGGAUAGCUGCCCGAAAGGGCGAGGUAAUACCAGAUGAGACCACGAUCAGGCAUCUGAUUGUGCUCAAAGGUCCGCCGGUCUGGGAGCAGGCGAUUUCGUAUCAGCUUGUUGGUGAGGUAACGGCUCACCAAGGCGACGACGCGUAGCCGGACUGAGAGGUUGGCCGGCCACAUUGGGACUGAGACACUGCCCA
This 295-nucleotide ribosomal RNA is filed under the name uncultured bacterium. Its description in RNAcentral is "partial 16S ribosomal RNA". It matches the Rfam family "Bacterial small subunit ribosomal RNA", at positions 30 to 333 of the family's 1533-position model. The record is from RNAcentral.